GUGGGGAAUAUUGGACAAUGGGCGAAAGCCUAAUCCAGCCAUGCCGCGUGAACGAUGAAGGCCUUCGGGUUGUAAAGUUCUUUAGCCGAUGAUUAUAAUGACUGUAGUCGGAAAAUAAGCCCCGGCUAACUUCGUGCCAGCAGCCGCGGUAAUACGAAGGGGGCGAGCGUUAUUCGGAAUCACUGGGCGUAAAGCGUGCGUAGGCGGUUUUGUAAGUUAGGAGUGAAAGCCCAGGGCUCAACCUUGGAAUUUCUCUUAAAACUGCAAGGCUCGAAUCUCGGAGAGGAUAGCGGAAUUUCCAGUGUAGCAGUGAAAUGCGUAGAUAUUGGAAGGAACACCAGUGGCGUAAGCGGCUAUCUGGACGAGUAUUGACGCUGAGGCACGAAAGCGUGGGGAUCAAACAGGAUUAGAAACCCUGGUAGUCC
RNAcentral lists this ribosomal RNA (425 nucleotides) under uncultured bacterium. Its description in RNAcentral is "partial 16S ribosomal RNA". It matches the Rfam family "Bacterial small subunit ribosomal RNA", at positions 354 to 796 of the family's 1533-position model. The record is from RNAcentral.